RNAcentral lists this ribosomal RNA (465 nucleotides) under uncultured bacterium. RNAcentral describes it as "partial 16S ribosomal RNA". It matches the Rfam family "Bacterial small subunit ribosomal RNA", at positions 28 to 507 of the family's 1533-position model. The record is from RNAcentral.
GACGAACGCUGGCGGCGUGCUUAACACAUGCAAGUCGAGCGAGGCCCCUCCUUCGGGAGGGUGUCCUAGCGGCGAACGGGUGAGUAACACGUGGGCAACCUGCCCUCAGCUCUGGGAUAACUCCGGGAAACCGGGGCUAAUACCGGAUACGACCUCCACGGGCAUCUGCGGAGGUGGAAAGUUUUUCGGCUGAGGAUGGGCCCGCGGCCUAUCAGCUAGUUGGUGGGGUAGUGGCCCACCAAGGCGACGACGGGUAGCCGGCCUGAGAGGGCGACCGGCCACACUGGGACUGAGACACGGCCCAGACUCCUACGGGAGGCAGCAGUGGGGAAUAUUGCGCAAUGGGCGAAAGCCUGACGCAGCGACGCCGCGUGAGGGACGAAGGCCUUCGGGUUGUAAACCUCUUUCGGCAGGGACGAAGCGAAAGUGACGGUACCUGCAGAAGAAGCACCGGCCAACUACGUG